Molecule: transfer RNA, 72 nt
Filed under: Bos taurus (domestic cattle)
Lineage: Eukaryota; Metazoa; Chordata; Mammalia; Artiodactyla; Bovidae
Also listed under: 2 other names
Rfam family: tRNA
About the family: Transfer RNA (tRNA) molecules are approximately 80 nucleotides in length. Their secondary structure includes four short double-helical elements and three loops (D, anti-codon, and T loops). Further hydrogen bonds mediate the characteristic L-shaped molecular structure. tRNAs have two regions of fundamental functional importance: the anti-codon, which is responsible for specific mRNA codon recognition, and the 3' end, to which the tRNAs corresponding amino acid is attached (by aminoacyl-tRNA synthetases). tRNAs cope with the degeneracy of the genetic code in two manners: having more than one tRNA (with a specific anti-codon) for a particular amino acid; and 'wobble' base-pairing, i.e. permitting non-standard base-pairing at the 3rd anti-codon position.
Source: Rfam by way of RNAcentral
UCCCUGGUGGCUCAGUCAGUAAAGUUUCUGCCUGCGAUUCAGGAGACCUAAGUUCGAUCCUUGGCUUGGGAA